GGAAGGAUCAUUAUCAAUUAAAACGGUUGCGGCACCUCUUCUGGUGCCCAGCCAAACACCUGUGCCUCUGAUGACAGUACAUGACGGUGUUCGCGUGAUUUUCUCGCGUCACCGGCAUCCAAAUUUGUAUGCCAAUAUUUGGACCUUCAACGCCACCAUUUGUUUGGUGACGCUUAAGAACAGUUAAUUCUCAACCUAGUUGAGGAUGAAACAACAAAAAAACUUUCAACAACGGAUGUCUUGGCUCCUGCAUCGAUGAAGAACGCCGCGAAAUGCGAUACGUAAUGUGAAAUGCGAAGCGUGAAUCAUCAAAUCUUCGAACGCAGCUGGCGCCGCUUCGGCGGCAUGCCUAUUUGAGCGUCGUUAAAAAAACCUCGUCCCUCACCCGGAUGGUUGAUGACGUUCCCAGUGAAUUGUUUUUUCAUUGGGUCCGUUGGAAGGCAGAUGCACUCCGCAGCGUCCUUUUGAGGGUGCGCGCACUGAGUUUUUCACAAACACCGUAGUGUGCCCCCAGAAGUGUCCUGGAGCUCUAACACCUCAUAUCACGACCUCAAAUUAGACAAGAGUACCCCCUGAACUGAAGCAUCUCAAUAAGGGGAGGAGAAGAAACUAACAAGGAUGGCCUCAGUAACGGCGAGUGAAGUGGCCAAAGCUCAAAUUUGAAAUCUGUGCCCCCCGGGCACCGAAUUGUAGUUUCAAGGGGCGUUCCGGGAAUCAGCCGGGCAUAAUUGCCCUGGAAAGGGCGGUCACAGAGGGUGAGAACCCCGUCCCUGGUCCGGACCUGAUUCCUGCACGGAGCGUUUCCAACGAGUCGGGCUGUUUGGGACUACAGCCUAAAUUGGGUGGUAGAUGCCAUCUAAAGCCAAAUAACUGCAGGAGACCGAUAGCGAACAAGUAGUGUGAACGAAAGAUGAAAAGCACUUUGAAAAGAGGGCCAAAAGAACCUGAAAUUGUUGAAAUGGAAGCGAUCGAAAUCAGAAGUGUCUGGUUCGGUACUAGGCUGCUGGCCGCGCAGAGUUGGCUCGUUUCACCGCAAGGGAAUGCGGGCUUGCUGCGGCGUGGCGCUGGGCUGAUUUACCGGAUCGGGUGGCCAGCAUCGGCUUGGUGCACAGCAGAAGGCCGUGUGAAAGGUAGGGAAUCAGCCGCAAGGCAGUUCCUGUUAUAGACAUGCGGAGAUGCUGUGUGCUGGGCCGAGGGAAUCCUUCGAGAGCAAAACGCGCGCCUCGGCAAUCCGCCGUUGAGCACUGUGUAAAAAGCAGUGUUUGGCUGGCGAUCAGCGUGUUCAGGAUGCUGGCGAAUUGGUUUCUAUCGACCCGUCUUGAAACGUGAGUCUUCAUUUCUUCUCCACCUCCCCAAAAAACUAUCUUCAAAAGCUAACUUUUGUUCUCUCACUCUCUUUAGACGGACCAAGGAGUCUAACGGCGGCGCGAGUAGUGGGGCGGAAAACCCCCAUGCGUAAAUGAAAGUGAAGGCACCGCAAGGCGCUGAGGUGGGAGUCCUGUUGCGAAAACGGGAUGCAGCACCGACCGAUCUGGAGUCGUUGACGAAAGAUUUGAGUAUGAGCGUCGCCGCUAGGACCCGAAAGAUGGCGAACUUUGCCUGGGUAGGCUGAAGUCAGACGAAAGUCUGAUGGAGGGCUAUAGAGAUACUGACGUGCAAAUCGUUCUUGGGACUUGGGCAAAGGGGCGAAAGGUGAGUUUGUUAUUUGGCACGGCGUCGAGAAGAAUUUGUGAAUGAAACUGUGAACUGACCGAAUUUUCUUCUUUUUAUUUUUAUAACAGACUAAUCGAGCCGUAAGUUGAACUUGUAUUAUCUGAUUUUUGCAGGAACAUGUCAACUGACAUUUACUUUUUCUAAUUAUUUAGAUCUAGUAGCUGGUUCCCUC
Molecule: unclassified non-coding RNA, 1885 nt
Filed under: uncultured fungus
Lineage: Eukaryota; Fungi
Description: sequence contains 18S rRNA gene, ITS1, 5.8S rRNA gene, ITS2, 28S rRNA gene
Rfam family: Eukaryotic large subunit ribosomal RNA (bases 546-1885)
Source: RNAcentral